Molecule: ribosomal RNA, 460 nt
Filed under: uncultured bacterium
Lineage: Bacteria
Description: partial 16S ribosomal RNA
Rfam family: Bacterial small subunit ribosomal RNA
Source: RNAcentral
CCUACGGGUGGCUGCAGUGAGGAAUAUUGGUCAAUGGGCGCGAGCCUGAACCAGCCAAGUAGCGUGAAGGAUGACUGUCCUACGGGUUGUAAACUUCUUUUAUCAAGGAAUAAAGUCAGGCACGUGUGCCUUUCUGUAUGUACUUUAUGAAUAAGCAUCGGCUAACUCCGUGCCAGCAGCCGCGGUAAUACGGAGGAUCCGAGCGUUAUCCGGAUUUAUUGGGUUUAAAGGGUGCGUAGAUGGGUUGUUAAGUCAGUUGUGAAAGCUUGCGGCUCAACCGUAAGAGUGCAGUUGAUACUGGCAGCCUUGAGAAGAGGUGAGGUAGGCGGAAUUCGUAGUGUAGCGGUGAAAUGCUUAGAUAUCGCGAAGAACUCCGAUUGCGAAGGCAGCAUACUAAACGGCAUCUGACAUUGAUGCUCGAAAGUGUGGGUAUCGAACAGGAUUAGAUACCCGAGUAGUC